This 423-nucleotide ribosomal RNA is filed under the name uncultured bacterium. RNAcentral's name for it is "partial 16S ribosomal RNA". It matches the Rfam family "Bacterial small subunit ribosomal RNA", at positions 360 to 775 of the family's 1533-position model. The record is from RNAcentral.
AAUCUUCCACAAUGGACGAAAGUCUGACGGAGCAACGCCUCGUGAGCGAAGAAGGUUUACGGAUCGUAAAGCUCUGUUGCGAGGGAAGAACAAGUACGGGAGUAACCGCCCGUACCUUCACGGUACCUCGUCAUAAAGCCACGGCGAACUACGUGCUAGCAGCCGCGGUAAUACGUAGGUGGCAAGCGUUGUCCGGAAUUAUUGGGCGUAAAGCGCGCGCAGGCGGUCCUUUAAGUCUGAUGUGAAAGCCCACGGCUCAACCGUGGAGGGUCAUUGGAAACUGGAGGACUUGAGUACAGAAGAGGAAAGCGGAAUUCCACGUGUAGCGGUGAAAUGCGUAGAGAUGUGGAGGAACACCAGUGGCGAAGGCGGCUUUCUGGUCUGUAACUGACGCUGAGGCGCGAAAGCGUGGGGAGCAAACAG